UGGGGAAUAUUGGACAAUGGGGGCAACCCUGAUCCAGCCAUGCCGCGUGUGUGAAGAAGGCCUUUUGGUUGUAAAGCACUUUAAGCAGUGAAGAAGACUCCAUGGUUAAUACCCAUGGACGAUGACAUUAGCUGCAGAAUAAGCACCGGCUAACUCUGUGCCAGCAGCCGCGGUAAUACAGAGGGUGCAAGCGUUAAUCGGAAUUACUGGGCGUAAAGCGAGCGUAGGUGGCUUGAGAAGUCAGAUGUGAAAGCCCCGGGCUUAACCUGGGAACGGCAUCUGAUACUGUUAGGCUAGAGUAGGUGAGAGGAAGGUAGAAUUCCAGGUGUAGCGGUGAAAUGCGUAGAGAUCUGGAGGAAUACCGAUGGCGAAGGCAGCCUUCUGGCAUCAUACUGACACUGAGGUUCGAAAGCGUGGGUAGCAAACA
This 427-nucleotide ribosomal RNA is filed under the name uncultured bacterium. Its description in RNAcentral is "partial 16S ribosomal RNA". It matches the Rfam family "Bacterial small subunit ribosomal RNA", at positions 355 to 774 of the family's 1533-position model. The record is from RNAcentral.